RNAcentral lists this unclassified non-coding RNA (405 nucleotides) under soil metagenome. RNAcentral's name for it is "partial contains 5.8S ribosomal RNA, internal transcribed spacer 2, and large subunit ribosomal RNA". The stretch from base 1 to 121 matches the Rfam family "5.8S ribosomal RNA", at positions 35 to 154 of the family's 154-position model. The record is from RNAcentral.
GAUGAAGAACGUAGCGAAAUGCGAUAAGUAAUGUGAAUUGCAGAAUUCAGUGAAUCAUCGAAUCUUUGAACGCACCUUGCGCCCUUUGGCCAUUCCGAAGGGCAUGCCUGUUUGAGUAUCAUGAACACCUCAACUCUUUAUGGUUUUCCAUGAUGAGCUUGGACUUUGGGGGUUUUGCUGGCCUAUGGUCGGCUCCUCUAAAAUAAAUCAGCUUACCGGUGUUUGGUGGGUAUCAUGGGUGUGAUAACUAUCUACGCUUGUGGUUUUUCCACCAGGUAAACUUCGACAGCGGAGGUUCACUGGAGCUCAUAGAUGUCUCUCCUCAGCGAGGACAGCCCUUUGAAUGUUUGAUCUCAAAUCAGGUAGGACUACCCGCUGAACUUAAGCAUAUCAAUAAGCGGAGGA